Molecule: ribosomal RNA, 965 nt
Filed under: bacterium enrichment culture clone ZZ_D3
Lineage: Bacteria
Description: bacterial SSU rRNA
Rfam family: Bacterial small subunit ribosomal RNA
Source: RNAcentral
GACGAACGCUGGCGGCGUGCUUAACACAUGCAAGUCGAGCGAUGAAGCUUCUUCGGAAGUGGAUUAGCGGCGGACGGGUGAGUAACACGUGGGUAACCUGCCUCAUAGAGGGGAAUAGCCUUUCGAAAGGAAGAUUAAUACCGCAUAAGAUUGUAGUACCGCAUGGUACAGCAAUUAAAGGAGUAAUCCGCUAUGAGAUGGACCCGCGUCGCAUUAGCUAGUUGGUGAGGUAACGGCUCACCAAGGCGACGAUGCGUAGCCGACCUGAGAGGGUGAUCGGCCACAUUGGGACUGAGACACGGCCCAGACUCCUACGGGAGGCAGCAGUGGGGAAUAUUGCACAAUGGGGGAAACCCUGAUGCAGCAACGCCGCGUGAGUGAUGACGGUCUUCGGAUUGUAAAACUCUGUCUUUAGGGACGAUAAUGACGGUACCUAAGGAGGAAGCCACGGCUAACUACGUGCCAGCAGCCGCGGUAAUACGUAGGUGGCAAGCGUUGUCCGGAUUUACUGGGCGUAAAGGGAGCGUAGGUGGAUAUUUAAGUGGGAUGUGAAAUACUCGGGCUUAACCUGGGUGCUGCAUUCCAAACUGGAUAUCUAGAGUGCAGGAGAGGAAAGGAGAAUUCCUAGUGUAGCGGUGAAAUGCGUAGAGAUUAGGAAGAAUACCAGUGGCGAANGCGCCUUUCUGGACUGUAACUGACACUGAGGCUCGAAAGCGUGGGGAGCAAACAGGAUUAGAUACUCUGGUAGUCCACGCCGUAAACGAUGAAUACUNGGUGUAGGGGUUGUCAUGACCUCUGUGCCGCCGCUAACGCAUUAAGUAUUCCGCCUGGGGAGUACGGUCGCAAGAUUAAAACUCAAAGGAAUUGACGGGGGCCCGCACAAGCAGCGGANCAUGUGGUUUAAUUCGAAGCAACGCNAAGAANCCUUACCUAGACUUGACAUCUCCUGAAUUACUCUGUAAUGG